Long non-coding RNA from Gallus gallus (chicken), 1777 nucleotides. Lineage: Eukaryota; Metazoa; Chordata; Aves; Galliformes; Phasianidae. The record is from Ensembl.
AGUGUAGCUCUUUUCUCAGGUUUAUAAGAAAACAGAUUUCAGUCCAGUAACAUCAUCCAUUAAACAGCAUCCUUUAAAAUUCUCAGGGACAAAGAAGUGCAUGCAGAAAACUUGGAAAAGCUGAACAGCAAGUUCCCUGCUGUGUUUAUGCUACUUGCAUCCCUAUCCUGACCCCCCUAUAUCCCCAAUUUCUGGUUUACUUCUGGAGCGGUUUCAGACAUGAGAAGAUGACAUCAGUGUUAUAUCUUCAUUUUAUUAGAUUACAUGGGAUGACUUAAUGUUGUACAACACAGACUGGGGCUGGGUCUGUGUUGUUUUUUUUUUUAUGGGCUGCCAGGGAGAAGAGGUUGAGAAGACAGCUGGAUAUGUAGUUUGGGUGGAUCCUGCUGCCAGCCUCAAUGAGAUUGUUGUUGCUGCCCCCUGUGGAGGUGAGAGGACUUUGAUGUUGGUGAGUGGGGAAACAUCAGAAAUGGUCACUGGACCCUCUCCCUCUGCCAGUUACUUCAACCCGAUCAUCUGCUUAGGCUGCCAUAGCAACACUGUUAAGUUCUCACAACAGGGUGCUACCUGAAAAGCACACUGCCUCCUCCAGGGAAUGGUGCUGGGUGAGCUGUGUGGAAGUGCCAGGGAAGUCAGCCUUAAGGCAGGAUGUUGUGAUGACCAUGAUGGGAUUGGAUUAAUAGGUGCUGAGAGGAGUGUGUUGAACUAAUACCAUCUAGUAUGGAAUUGUGGAAAGUUUGUCUGUUUGAAUUAACUUGGUAAUGUUUUUACACAAAGCGACAAGUUCAAGUGAUAGAUAAGGAUGUAAUAAAUGUAGGUCAAAUAUUUAACCUUUCAACACGCAUUUUUGUUCACAGAGUACAACAGAACAAAGGCAAAGAAUGAGCUUUGACCUAGCUAAAUGACUGAUGUUUAAUGUAACUGUAAAUAUGGAGUUGUCAGUGUUCAGCUGGACUUCCACAUAAGCUUAUGGGCUCUUCACUGAUCUUAUUGGUGACGUGAACCGAAGCAUUGCAUUACCCCUGUCAAGCUUUGAAGAGUCACAGGACCGGAGCUGAUGAGGCCUGAAGGGACCCUGUGGUUAGGCAGCCUGACUUCCUGGGCAAGGGAGCCAUCAGGACAUUUCUGAAUUAAUUCUAUCUGAGUUGCAGCUUAGAAAGAGCUUUCCAUGUGAAUUUAAAAAUCACUGAUGACAGGGAAAAGAAUGAUGUGGUGUGACAAAUAGCAGAAAGGGGCAGUGAUGUGGGUAGGUUGGCAAGCUAAUUCUGAAGCCAAAGUUAUAGAGACAGGAAAUAAGAGAACAGGUGAGGUACAGCUUAAUCUCGUGGGUGGCAAUCCUGCCUAUGGCAGGGGGUUGGAACUGUUGGGGUCUUUGAGAUCCCUUCUCACCCAAGCCAUUCUGUGAUUCUAUGGAAUGAGGUACCUCUGAAUGGAGGACCACAGGAUAGUGAGCUGAACAUGAACAAUAUGCCCAGAGAAGACUAAUGUGAUCCCUAGAUGUGUAUAGGUGCCCUUCUGUCUCCAAAAGGUAGAAAUCUGUUUCAAGUGCUGGUCAGAAGAUCACAUUAGGUAUCCCUGUAGCUGUGUUUAUUUCACAGGGUCCAUUGGACAGAAUGUGGGCUUCUGAGGAGCAGAUUUUGGACUGCUGUCAUGUCUGCUAGGGUAACCUGUCUGUAUCUGGGUGUUCUUUCCAUGCUAAUGAGAUUUUGGGUAGCCCACUUUGCAGUGCAGUCACCUACACACAGGUGCUUGUCACCGUGUUUAACCAGAGCUGGAC